Molecule: ribosomal RNA, 433 nt
Filed under: uncultured bacterium
Lineage: Bacteria
Description: partial 16S ribosomal RNA
Rfam family: Bacterial small subunit ribosomal RNA
Source: RNAcentral
AACGAACGCUGGCGGCAUGCCUAACACAUGCAAGUCGAACGAGACCUUCGGGUCUUUUGGCGCACGUGUGCGUAACGCGUGGGAACCUGCCCUUGGGUUCGGAAUACCUCACCGAAAGGGAUCCUAAUACAAGUGAAUGUCUUAGGACCAAGGAGUUAUCGCUAUGGGAUGGGCGCGCGUUGGUUUAGCCAGUUGGUAGGGUAAUAGCCGACCAAGGCGACGAUGCAUGGCUGGUCUGGGAGGAUGACCUGCAACACUGGGGAUGAGACACGGCCCAGACUCCUACGGGAGGCAGCAGUGGGGAAUAUUGGACGAGGGGGGAAGGCCUGGUCCAGCAAUGCCGGGUGAGUGAUGAAGGCCUUAGGGUUGUGAAGCUCUUUUAGCCGGGAUGAUAAUGACAGUAACGGGUAAAUAAGCUCCGGCUAACUACGUG